This 433-nucleotide ribosomal RNA is filed under the name uncultured bacterium. RNAcentral's name for it is "bacterial SSU rRNA". It matches the Rfam family "Bacterial small subunit ribosomal RNA", at positions 30 to 480 of the family's 1533-position model. The record is from RNAcentral.
AUUGAACGCUGGCGGCAUGCCUUACACAUGCAAGUCGAACGGCAGCACGGGAGCAAUCCUGGUGGCGAGUGGCGAACGGGUGAGUAAUAUAUCGGAACGUGCCCAGUCGUGGGGAUAACGUAGCGAAAGCUACGCUAAUACCGCAUACGAUCUAUGGAUGAAAGCGGGGGAUCGCAAGACCUCGCGCGAUUGGAGCGGCCGAUAUCAGAUUAGGUAGUUGGUGAGGUAAAGGCUCACCAAGCCGACGAUCUGUAGCUGGUCUGAGAGGACGACCAGCCACACUGGGACUGAGACACGGCCCAGACUCCUACGGGAGGCAGCAGUGGGGAAUAUUGGGACAAUGGGCGAAAGCCUGAUCCAGCAAUGCCGCGUGAGUGAUGAAGGCCUCGGUCGUAAGCUCUUUUACCCUAGGGUAGUGAUAAUGACAGUACCU